RNAcentral lists this ribosomal RNA (429 nucleotides) under Chloroflexota bacterium. Its description in RNAcentral is "Chloroflexi bacterium partial 16S ribosomal RNA". It matches the Rfam family "Bacterial small subunit ribosomal RNA", at positions 355 to 776 of the family's 1533-position model. Lineage: Bacteria; Bacillati; Chloroflexota. The record is from RNAcentral.
UGGGGAAUAUUGCACAAUGGGCGCAAGCCUGAUGCAGCCAUGCCGCGUGUAUGAAGAAGGCCUUCGGGUUGUAAAGUACUUUCAGCGGGGAGGAAGGGAGUAAAGUUAAUACCUUUGCUCAUUGACGUUACCCGCAGAAGAAGCACCGGCUAACUCCGUGCCAGCAGCCGCGGUAAUACGGAGGGUGCAAGCGUUAAUCGGAAUUACUGGGCGUAAAGCGCACGCAGGCGGUUUGUUAAGUCAGAUGUGAAAUCCCCGGGCUCAACCUGAGAACUGCAUCUGAUACUGGCAAGCUUGAGUCUCGUAGAGGGGGGUAGAAUUCCAUGUGUAGCGGUGAAAUGCGUAGAGAUGUGGAGGAAUACCGGUGGCGAAGGCGGCCCCCUGGACAAAGACUGACGCUCAGGUGCGAAAGCGUGGGGAGCAAACAGG